RNAcentral lists this ribosomal RNA (253 nucleotides) under uncultured bacterium. RNAcentral's name for it is "partial 16S ribosomal RNA". It matches the Rfam family "Bacterial small subunit ribosomal RNA", at positions 524 to 776 of the family's 1533-position model. The record is from RNAcentral.
UACAGAGGGUGCAAGCGUUGCUCGGAAUCAUUGGGCGUAAAGGGCAAGUAGGUGGUCUCAUUUGUCUAGGGUGAAAUCCUUGAGCUUAACUCAAGAAGUGCCCUAGAAACGGUGAGACUCGAGUUCUGGAGAGGGUCGUGGAAUUCCCGGUGUAGCGGUGAAAUGCGUAGAGAUCGGGAGGAACACCAGUGGCGAAGGCGGCGACCUGGACAGACACUGACACUCAACUGCGAAAGCGUGGGGAGCAAAAAGG